GGAAAAACGUAAAAUCAAAUAUCAAAAGCCUUAAAGUACAUUUUAGCUCUUAUUUGAUGGUGAUUGGAUCAAAGAAAUCUCCUCACAGGGGCUGCAAAUCUGUGGAAUGGGAACUUUGUGUGACAUCGACUUUCAGAGGAAUAGCUAGUCAGUAGAGAUAUGCUGUGGGCAACCCUUUUUUGGUUGGUGGCCUGUGGACAACCCUCUUGAGGAUGGUGGCUUGUGGACAAACCUUGGAUGGUGUCCUGCAGACAAGCUUUGGAAUUAAGUGGCCUUUGGACAAGCCUUGGAAUGGUGGCUUGGGGACAAGCCUAGGAUGGUGGUCUGUGAACAAGCCCUGGAAUGGUGGCCUGUGGACAAUCCUUUGAUGGUGGCCCAUGGACAAGUCUUAGAAUGGUGGCUUGAGGACAAACCUUUGAAUGGGACUGGCCUUGGAUGGUGGCCUGUGAAAAAGCCUUGGAUGGUGGCUUAUGGACAAGCCUUGGAAGGUAGCCUGUAGGCAAGUCUUACCACAGGGCCGCCUGAUUGGAAGAUUAGCUAUAGAAAAAGAAGAAUGUUGGAUCUUGGAUGGGAAAGGUCAGUGGAGGGAGCUGGAUACCAAGUGGUGAAACAGAGGACCAAAGUGCAAUAGAUCUAACCCUAAGCAUCACAACUGGACAGCACAAGCCAAGCAACAAAACUGAAGAGUACAAACAUCAAUGACACAGACCCAUCUUGGUGGAAGAACCCUGGCGAUUGGCGCUGGAAGCAAGUACAAGAUUAUUUAUCAUUUCCAUCAAUUCUAGAUUUUAUUUCAGGCCCAGCCCGGGAGGUCAUUGAACAGGGGUGCAGCUGGCCUGGGGUUUUCCUCUUAAGGGCAAGUGGAUGUACAGGGAGGUUUUUCACCCAGCUGUUGUUCCACCACCCCCAUUCAUUAAGUUCUUUCUUUUUCUAGUUCAUAAUAAUGAGAA
Pocillopora verrucosa is the source of this 950-nucleotide long non-coding RNA. RefSeq lists it as uncharacterized. The record is from RefSeq and is a predicted model, not a curated record. Lineage: Eukaryota; Metazoa; Cnidaria; Anthozoa; Scleractinia; Pocilloporidae.